ACUUUUUAUAUUCAUCGUUUAGACAUAAAUUUUUGGGGCAAUUUCAUCACUAGCCCUCUUAAACAUGUAAAUAUCACAAAUACUCCUAUAAAAUUAAAAAUAUCAUAUAUACCCCUUCAAAGGUAGAAAAAUAUCACAAUUACCUUUUAUUCUAACUGACGUUAGGGUAAAGUUAUAAAAUGACUAAUUUACCCCUUAAAAGUUGUUUGGGUUAUUCUUUUGAUAACAAAUAAUAGAGGAGUAAUUUCAUGAAUACCCUUCUAAUUUCUAAUACUAAUUAUUGGUGGAUAAAAUAAGUGGAAACCCCUCACCUAUAGGUCAUUUUGAAAUAUACCCCCUUAACUUCAAUUUUUUAACAUUUAGAGAGCCCUUUAACUUUUAGUUUUUUUUUUGUUUUUGCGUUUUACUUAGUUAAAAGUUUUUCAAUUGAGAUCACUCAUACAUGAAUUUGAUAAAAUUUUUAACUUAGUUGGAAAAAAAAAACACUCAAUUGCAAAAGUAAAGAAUCACUACACUUGAGAGGAUGUAUAUAUAUAGAGAGAGAGAGUCAGGCUACUAUACUCUUAUGAGUGUGAUCGCCUUCUUACUCAUAAGUCGUUUUCAAUAAUAAAGCUUCCGAAUUGACGAUCCAUAAUGUUAAAUAUUAUCUAGAAUAUUCAAAACUUCAAGAAAUCAAAUUUUAUAAUUUUUUUAUAUCAUUACGAUCAAAAGAUCUCAAAAUUGACAAUUUUUAAUGGUCAGUAUGGGAUACUUGCUAGUUUAAUGGUGAAAAAAAAUCGGAAUCAAUUGAAUUUUUGAUAGAAAAUUUUAUUUACUAUCUAGAUAAAGNAAAUUUUCAUCGUAUUUUGAUUGUUUUACACCGUUAAACUCAAAAACACACCACAUCAGCCAUUAAAAUUGUCGAUUUUGAGAUUUUUUGAUCACUGGUCAAAUGAUGUCAAAAAAAUCUGAAAUUUAGUUUCCAAAUAUUUUCAAUAGUGUAGAUCAAGUCUAACGAAGCCGAUCGUCGAUUUGGGAGCCGCAUCAUCAAAAACAACUUGGUAGCACGGAGCGCUCCGUGCUACCGAUAGCAUAGUAGCCGGACUAUAUAUAUAUAUAUAUAUAUAUAUAUAUAUAGUCCGGCUACUAUGCUAUCGGUAGCACGGAGCGCUCCGUGCUACCAAGUUGUUUUUGAUGAUGCGGCUCCCAAAUCGACGAUCGGCUUCGUUAGACUUGAUCUACACUAUUGAAAAUAUUUGGAAACUAAAUUUCAGAUUUUUUUGACAUCAUUUGACCAGUGAUCAAAAAAUCUCAAAAUCGACAAUUUUAAUGGCUGAUGUGGUGUGUUUUUGAGUUUAACGGUGUAAAACAAUCAAAAUACGAUGAAAAUUUUAUAGAAAAUUCUUUUCACUAUUUAUAUAAGAUCAGUAUAUCUGAUCUUGAAUUUAAAUCUUUUAUCAUCAUUUUUUAUGAGAUUUUUAUUUUCAGCCGUUCAAUUUUAAACUACUUGUUUGAUAGGUAAAUGAUAUCGAAAAAUUAUGAAAUUUAGUUUCUAAAUACUUUCAAUAGUGUAGAUCAAGUCUAACGGAGCUGAUCGUCGAUUUAGAAACCGCAUCAUCGAAAACAACUUGGUAGCACGGAGCGCUCCAUGCUACCAAUAAUAUAGUAGCCUAGUUCUAUAUAUAUAUAGAGAGAGAGAGAGAGAGAGAGAGAGUUGAGCUGGAAUACUAUCGGUAGCAAACGGGCUCCGUUGUCACCCAUUCAUUUUCGAUGAUGGAGCUUCCAUAUCGACGAUCGGUACUGUUGAACAUGAUUUAUACCACUUGAAGUACCUAGAAAUCAAAUUUCAUGCUUUUCCGAUAUUGUUUUCUUGUCCAUCAAGUGGGCGUAAAAAUAAACAGUUGAAAAUGAAUAUUCUCUAAAAAGUGAUGAUACGAAUUUUGUAAUUAAGAUCGAGAGUAUAGAUCUUGUUCUAAAUAGUUUAAAGAAUUUUUUAACCAAAAUUCAAUUGAUUUGGAUAGCUUUACGCGGUUAAACGAGAAAACACCUCAUAUCUACCAUUAAAAUUACAAAUUUUGAAACCCUUUGAUCAAUAGGUCAACGAUAUCGAAAAGAUUUGAAAUUUGGUUUCUAGAUACUUCAAGUGGUAUAGAUCACAUUCAACGGUGCCGAUCAACGAUUUGAAGGCUCCAUCAUGAAAAACAAAUGGGUGGCAACGGAACCUGUUUGCUACCUAUAGUAUUCCAGCUCAACUCUAUAUAUAUAUAUAGUUCGGCUGGGAUACUAUUGAUAACACCGAGCGUUUGGUGCUAUCAAGUUUUCCGCCGUUAGAUUUAACCCUUUGACUAUUUUCACCCAUUGGAUUAUACUAUUAAGCUAAUAACUCACUCAACUCUAGAGGGCCCACAUCAUCCUAGCCAUAUAUUUCUUCUUCUAAGAGCUGAAAACCUAAUAGCGUCAAUAGCUUGGUGCUAUUGAUAGUAUUCCAGCUUAUAUAUAUAUAUAUAUAGAGAGAGAGAGAGAGAGAGAGAGAGUAGAGCAGAGCUACUAUAUUAUUGGAAGUAUAGAGGAUUUGAUGCUUCCGAUUUUUUGCCCUUAGAUCAACCUCUUUAAUUAUUUCUAACAUUUGAAUUAAUACUAUUACCUUGUGAGGACCACUCAACCCUAGUGGUACUACUCAACCCUAGAGGGGCCGCAAUCAUCCCAACCGUACAAUUUCUUGAUCAAAGGGUCAAAAAAUCGAAAACACCAAAUCUUUUAUGCUUUCAAUAAUAUUGUUACUCUACCCUAUAUAUAUAUAAAAAAAAAGAGAGUUGGGUUAGAAUACUAUUAAUAGUAUUUGUCCUUUUUUGCUAUUAAGUUUUUAGUCUUUAAUAAAUCAAUUUCUUUGAUCAUUUGUAACCAUUGGAUUAAAUAUUAUAAUCCAGUGGAAACCACUCAAUUCUAGAGGAACCACUUAACCAUAAGGUACUAAUAUCAUUCUAACUAUAUAAUUUUUUAUCCAAGUGUUAAAAACUUGAUAGCAAAAGGAGCAAAAUAUUAUCAAUAGUAUUCCAGCCCAACUCUCUCUCUCUCUCUCUCUCUCUCUCUCUCUCUCUCUCUAUAUAUAUAUAUAUAUAUAAAGAGAGAGAAUAUAUAUAUAUAUAGAGAGAGAGAGAGAGAGAGAGAGAGAGAGUUAGACUGUUAUACUAUCGGUAGCACGGAGCCCUUCGUGCUACCAAGUUGUUUUCAAUGAUGUGGUUUCCAAAUCGAUGAUCGGCUCCAUUAGUCUUGAUCUACAGUUUCAAAAGUAUUUGGAAACUAAAUUUAAAAUUUAAAAAUAUAAAUUUAAAAUUUAAAAGUUAACAAUUCAAAAUUUUAAAUUAUAUUUUUUAAAAUGACAUAUUGAAAGAGUUUCGAGAGUUAGAGAAGUAAAAUUGUCAUUUUACAUAAUAUGCAGUAUUACUGGCUUUCAGUAAUUCAAGAUACACGUCCCCCCUCUCAUUAAUAUUUUUGGUGUAAUUCUGUACCAUUUUUAAUACUACAUUACCGACCCGAUUACAUACCGGAUGAACCAAACACGGUAAUCCUGACAGGAUUGCUCGUAAUCCUGUCAGAAUAACCUGAACCAAAUGCACUCUUAUGAGUAUAAAGCCCAUGAGUUGUUUUCAAUGAUGGAGCUUCUGAAUCAAUGAUUCACUCCGUUAAAUAUAAUCUAGAGUAUUUGAAAGUUCUAAAAAAUAAAUUUUGUAAUUUUUUGAAAUUAUAAUAAAGUCUAUCAAGCAGGUAAAAAAUGAACAAUUAAAAUCGAACGGCGUUCUAAAAAUAGAUGAUCAGAUCCUUCAAUUUCAUAUUAGAGUUAUUAAUCUUUAUCUAGAUAGUGAUUAAUCAAAAAUUCAAUCGAUUUCGAUUCUUUUACACUGUUAAACUAGCAAGUAUCUCAUAUUGGCUUUUAAAAUUAUUAAUUUUGAGAUUUUUUAAUCGUAAGGUAAAUAAUGUUAAAAAAAUAUAAAAUUUGAUUUCUACAAGUUUUAAAUACUCUAGAAAAUAUUUAACGGCAUGGAUUAUCGUUUCGAAAAUUUUAUUAUUGAAAACAAGAAUGUGAUAGUAAGACUAAAAAUAUCGGGUGCCAAAAAACAAAAAAUCACAGCCGUCCGCUACGGCUCACUCUCAUCAGAGAAUCAAAACCGUUCAUAACCCUCGCCUCACCAGGAAAAAAGAAACCCUAAUUCCACUCCGCCUCCACGCUCUCCCCCUUAUAUAAACCCUAAACUCCACGUCGAUUCACAGGCCCUCAGUUCCCUUAUUAAUGCUUCGCACAGGGUAAUGUAACUCUUUCUAGGGUUUUUCUUUUCCUUCUUUGUAUUAUUAUUAUUUUUUUAUUUUUAUAUAUAUCUCUCGUUCGGGGUUCUAAAUGAUGUGGAUUUAUCAAAAGGGAACAUCCCAAAAACCAAAAAAAUAAAAAAUUGGGGUGUGAUGAUAUUCCCCUUUAAUUGAAUAGGAAGAUCUGAUAGAUCCCCUUAUUAUCCCAUCUUCUUGUUUUCAGGUUUGUAGCUUUUGUUGUUGGUUUUUUUUAAAAAAAAUAUAUAUAUUUGGGUUUUUUUUUUUUUGAAUUUAUAGCAGCAGUGUGAAUGAUGAGAACAUGUAAAAUAUACAGUUAUCCCUGUCUGAUAAAUUCACAUGAAUGGGUGCUGAGAAAAAUACUCAAUCUGACACUUCUCUGCUGUUUAAUUUUUUUAUAUAAACUAAUUUGUUUAUGCUCUGUUGAUUAUGGUGAUUCUUCAAAUAUAAUUAAAAUUUUAUAUUAGUUUUUUUAAGUUUUUUAGAACAUUUUUAUGAAUUUUUUUUUAUAAUAAAUUGCCGAUGAUGACAUUGCGAGUGGCUGAACAGCAGGUUUAUUUUAUCUGCUGCAUCUUGUUGAAACAAAAUGCAAGAACUAGGACGGUCUGAGGCAUUGAUCUCAUUUUUUUUGUUAUAGAGAAUAAUAAUAUAUCAAACAUAAAUCGUAAAGACCAAGAACUUAUGAAAGAACAAAAAUCGAGGUUUUAGGCAUCGAUAUAGAAAAGAAAUUAUCACUAACAUCGUAAUUGCACUGUUUAUUGAGUAUAUAAUUCUGAUAUGCAAACAAAGACCUUGAAGUUCAAAACAGAGAAGCAUCUAACAUUCAUAUAGGAAUAAUAACUUAAUAUAUUCAUCGAACAGAAACAUCAUAAAAACUAGGGGCAAUUUCAUCACUAGCCCUCUUAAACAUGUAAAUAUCACAAAUACUCCUAUAAAAUUAAAAAUAUCAUAUAUACCUCUUCAAAGGUAGAAAAAUAUCACAAUUACCUUUUAUUCUAACUGACGGUAGGGUAAAGUUAUAAAAUGACUAAUUUACCCCUUAAAAGUUGUUUGGGUUAUUCU
This 5361-nucleotide long non-coding RNA is filed under the name Ananas comosus (pineapple). Its description in RNAcentral is "long non-coding RNA (ACOM_LNC018807)". The stretch from base 4582 to 4678 matches the Rfam family "Small nucleolar RNA R38". The record is from RNAcentral. Lineage: Eukaryota; Viridiplantae; Streptophyta; Magnoliopsida; Poales; Bromeliaceae.